This is a long non-coding RNA of Harpegnathos saltator (Jerdon's jumping ant), 525 nucleotides long. RefSeq lists it as uncharacterized. The record is from RefSeq and is a predicted model, not a curated record. Lineage: Eukaryota; Metazoa; Arthropoda; Insecta; Hymenoptera; Formicidae. The transcript has 3 exons.
GUGCCUCGCCAAAAAAUGCUCCAGGGUGUCCCAUCCGCCGCCCACUCUCACCAUCAUGUGUCUUCCCUUGAGGAGCUGCGAACACGUCAGUGGCGCGGUUAUUAGCGGCUGACACGCUUACAACAACACGCAACAUGCUUGAGGGGAUUCCCACUAUUAGAGAAGAAAUGAGGAAUUACGACCGAAGAGAUAUCGAUUGGAGGCCCACCCAAAUAUUCCUGCGUCCAAUCUUAUGGAGCUGAAGACUGUUCGACGACUGAAAAGGAGAAUUCCGCGAGACCUCCUAACAUACUAGGUGCUUACAAAGCAAGACUGCUGCGGAAGCAAAACGUUUUCACGCCAGACAUUGAUUGACGCCCCCAUCUGAUUCUCAUUUAUUCAAAUCGAUACAACACGGCUUGUCCGGCACACGAUUUGCUAAUACUGAGGAAGCCCGGAAAUGGAUCGAUCAUUUCAUCGCCUCGAAAGAUGUAUCGUUUCUUUAGAAAUGAGAUCAGACAAUUACCUAAGAGAUGGCAGUGACGG